UGUUAAAAUAUUCAUCCAUCUGUAUUGUAAAAACUAACGUGACUGAUUAAAUAAUUAGAUAAUGAUACGUGACGUGCACUUGUAUUUUAUGUUGAUAUAUAAUAACUAGUUUUUAAUAUCAGAAAUUAAUGAAUUUUUUAAUA
Molecule: microRNA precursor, 143 nt
Filed under: Gossypium hirsutum (cotton)
Lineage: Eukaryota; Viridiplantae; Streptophyta; Magnoliopsida; Malvales; Malvaceae
Description: MIR7502 microRNA precursor family
Rfam family: MIR7502 microRNA precursor family
Source: Rfam by way of RNAcentral